RNAcentral lists this unclassified non-coding RNA (713 nucleotides) under Hevea brasiliensis (rubber tree). Lineage: Eukaryota; Viridiplantae; Streptophyta; Magnoliopsida; Malpighiales; Euphorbiaceae. The record is from RNAcentral.
GGCCAAAUGAGAAAAUACAAUAAAUAAACAGCAACAGAUGGAGAAUAUCGAAAUAUCAUGCCAGCAGGCAGCAGCAACAAAUUUGAAAUUCUUCCAAAUCUCAUUACACCAAAUGGACAUACAAGAACCAUUGUCUUUGCCAACACCAGGCAGAGAACAAUGUCCUAAAAAUAGAGACAGAAGGCAUGGCAAGUUGGCAAAAAAUAAAAUGGUACAAAAUUUGUCAGCUAUAACAAUGUUGCACUCCAUCAACAAAGUUCCCAAAAAUUAUUGAAGUGCUACUCACAAGCAGAAUGGCAGAAUCAAUUGCCAGUGUAUACAUCUUUUUAUCAACUGUAUACAUUAUAGAAGAAACGCCUAAAAAAACCAUUAUUCAGCACAAAAAAAAUGGAUAUAAAAUCUCCCAAGAACAAAAGGGGGGCUACAAAAUCACAAGAAAUUUAAUUUCCAACAACUACACUCCCAAAAAUUGUAUCAUACAACUAAAACAAUUAAAAAAAAAAAUUGUAUUCAUAAAAAAAUUAAAAAUAAUUUGUAGUACUUGGGUUAUAGUAUAUAUGCCUACCUAUAUAAAAGAACUUAUGGCAGUAGAAAACUAUAUACGACAUGGAACAAAAAGCUAGUAUGCACAGAAAGCCAAAAAAUUAUUCAGUAAAAAUAAAAAUGAUUGCAGUUUUUCAAAGAAACCAGGGAAAAAAAAAGAAGAAGAACAA